CCCUUAGAUGUUCUGGGCUGCACGCGCGCUACACUGACGCACGCAACAGGUGCCUGCUCCGAGAGGACUGGGUAAUCAUUUGAGUGUGCGUCGUGAUGGGGAUAGAAUAUUGUAAUUAUUACUCUUCAACGAGGAAUUCCUAGUAAGCGCCAGUCAGCAGCUUGCGCUGAUUACGUCCCUGCCCUUUGUACACACCGCCCGUCGCUCCUACCGAUGGGUGAUCCGGUGAAUGAUUCGGACUUCAGCGGCUCCCCUGGGGUGCGCCGGAGAAAGUUUUGUGGACCUUAUCACUUGGAGGAAGGAGAAGUCGUAACA
RNAcentral lists this ribosomal RNA (315 nucleotides) under uncultured eukaryote. RNAcentral's name for it is "partial 18S ribosomal RNA". It matches the Rfam family "Eukaryotic small subunit ribosomal RNA", at positions 1470 to 1796 of the family's 1831-position model. The record is from RNAcentral.